This 253-nucleotide ribosomal RNA is filed under the name uncultured bacterium. Its description in RNAcentral is "partial 16S ribosomal RNA". It matches the Rfam family "Bacterial small subunit ribosomal RNA", at positions 524 to 776 of the family's 1533-position model. The record is from RNAcentral.
UACGUAGGGGGCAAGCGUUGUCCGGAUUUAUUGGGCGUAAAGAGCGUGUAGGCGGCCUGACAGGUCUGCUGUGAAAACUCGAGGCUCAACCUCGAGAUGUCGGCGGAAACCGUCUGGCUAGAGUCCGGAAGAGGAGAGUGGAAUUCCUGGUGUAGCGGUGAAAUGCGCAGAUAUCAGGAGGAACACCCGUAGCGAAGGCGGCACUCUGGGCCGGAACUGACGCUGAGGCGCGAAAGCGUGGGGAGCAAACAGG